GCCUGGAUGGCGGAAUUGGCAGACGCAACGGACUCAAAAUCCGUCGAGUUUUGGCUCAUGUGGGUUCGACCCCCACUCCAGGUA
Molecule: transfer RNA, 84 nt
Filed under: Opitutales bacterium
Lineage: Bacteria; Pseudomonadati; Verrucomicrobiota; Opitutia; Opitutales
Also listed under: 1 other name
Description: tRNA-Leu
Rfam family: tRNA
About the family: Transfer RNA (tRNA) molecules are approximately 80 nucleotides in length. Their secondary structure includes four short double-helical elements and three loops (D, anti-codon, and T loops).
Source: RNAcentral